GAUGAACGCUGGCGGCGUGCCUAAUACAUGCGAGUCGAGCGAACAGACGAGGAGCUUGCUCCUCUGACGUUAGCGGCGGACGGGUGAGUAACACGUGGAUAACCUACCUAUAAGACUGGGAUAACUUCGGGAAACCGGAGCUAAUACCGGAUAAUAUAUUGAACCGCAUGGUUCAAUAGUGAAAGACGGUUUUGCUGUCACUUAUAGAUGGAUCCGCGCCGCAUUAGCUAGUUGGUAAGGUAACGGCUUACCAAGGCGACGAUGCGUAGCCGACCUGAGAGGGUGAUAGGCCACACCGGAACUGAGACACGGUCCAGACUCCUACGGGAGGCAGCAGUAGGGAAUCUUCCGCAAUGGGCGAAAGCCUGACGGAGCAACGCCGCGUGAGUGAUGAAGGUCUUCGGAUCGUAAAACUCUGUUAUUAGGGAAGAACAAAUGUGUAAGUAACUAUUCACGUCUUGACGGUACCUAAUCAGAAAGCCACGGCUAACUACGUG
Molecule: ribosomal RNA, 497 nt
Filed under: uncultured bacterium
Lineage: Bacteria
Description: partial 16S ribosomal RNA
Rfam family: Bacterial small subunit ribosomal RNA
Source: RNAcentral